CCCGUUUUGACUUAUACACCCAAUGGCUACGGUUCGUCCCUGGUGUAUGUCAAUGCCGUCAGUACACUCGCUGGAGGGAUAGUUAUUGAUGCUCCACGGAGUCGUACGGCGGUUUGAUUCACGAAGCCGCUGUGCCAAAGUCUACCAAACUGUACAACUAAGAUCAAUGUUUGGAGGCUCGUCCAGUACCAGACAUGCACAUAUGCUGCACACCCCAGAUAGCGCAGAGAAGACUCCUUUCCUUGCACUAUUGCAAGCAACAUCUGAAUGCUCUAUCUUUUAUUACUGACAAUUGUGGACAACUUUGAAAUAAAAUGGAGAGUGCAGUUAGGAUUUAAUAUUCUUUACUUGAUGCAUAAUCGAAACAAUAGAAGCCGAUCAGCUUAAGUUCGACUGAACUGUUAUUGUCUAAAGAGAUAUAAAUGCAAAUUGAAAA
Long non-coding RNA from Anopheles gambiae (African malaria mosquito), 436 nucleotides. RefSeq lists it as uncharacterized. NCBI's taxonomy places the organism in Eukaryota, Metazoa, Arthropoda, Insecta, Diptera, Culicidae. The transcript is spliced from 2 exons. The record is from RefSeq and is a predicted model, not a curated record.